Molecule: ribosomal RNA, 482 nt
Filed under: uncultured bacterium
Lineage: Bacteria
Description: partial 16S ribosomal RNA
Rfam family: Bacterial small subunit ribosomal RNA
Source: RNAcentral
AUUGAACGCUGGCGGCAUGCCUUACACAUGCAAGUCGAACGGUAACAGGUCAAGGGAUGUUGACGAGUGGUGGAGGGGGGCGUAAUACAUCGGAAUGUGUCCGAUCCUGGGGGAUAACGAGGCGAAACCUUUGCUAAUACCUCAUACGAUCUACGGAUGAAAGCGGGGGAUCUCCGGAGCGCGCGCGGACGGAGCGGCCGAUGGCAGAUGAGGUAGUUGGUGGGAUAAUAGCUUACCAAGCCGACGAUCUGUAGCUGGUCUGAGAGGAUGAUCAGCCACACUGGGACUGAGACACGGCCCAGACUCCUACGGGAGGCAGCAGUGGGGAAUUUUGGACAAUGGGCGAAAGCCUGAUCCAGCCAUGCCGCGUGCAGGAUGAAGGCCUUCGGGUUGUAAACUGCUUUUGUUCGGGACGAAAAGCCUCUUACUAAAAAAGAGGCGUCAUGACGGUACCGUAAGAAUAAGCACCGGCUAACUACGUG